Molecule: ribosomal RNA, 326 nt
Filed under: uncultured bacterium
Lineage: Bacteria
Description: bacterial SSU rRNA
Rfam family: Bacterial small subunit ribosomal RNA
Source: RNAcentral
GAUGAACGCUGACAGAAUGCUUAACACAUGCAAGUCGAGCGAAGCGAUUUAACGGAAGUUUUCGGAUGGAAGUUAAAUUGACUGAGCGGGCGACGGGUGAAGGUACGCGUAGGUAACCGUGCCUCAUACAGGGGGAUAACAGUUAGAAAUGACUGCUAAUACCGCAUAAGCGCACAGCAUCGCAUGAUGCAGUGUGAAAAACUCCGGUGGUAUGAGAUGGACCCGCGUCUGAUUAGCUAGUUGGUGAGGUAACGGCUCACCAAGGCGACGAUCAGUAGCCGACCUGAGAGGGUGAACGGCCACAUUGGGACUGAGACACGGCCCAA